This 444-nucleotide ribosomal RNA is filed under the name uncultured bacterium. RNAcentral describes it as "bacterial SSU rRNA". It matches the Rfam family "Bacterial small subunit ribosomal RNA", at positions 337 to 797 of the family's 1533-position model. The record is from RNAcentral.
CCCUACGGGGGGCAGCAGUAGGGAAUAUUGCUUAAUGGGCGCAAGCCUGAAGCAGCAACGCCGCGUGUGCGAUGAAGGCCUUCGGGUCGUAAAGCACUUUUGGCAGGGACGAGGAAGGACGGUACCUGCAGAAUAAGCCUCGGCUAACUACGUGCCAGCAGCCGCGGUAAAACGUAGGAGGCGAGCGUUAUCCGGAUUUACUGGGUGUAAAGCGCGUGCAGGCGGUUUGUUAAGUUGGAUGUGAAAGCUCCUGGCUCAACUGGGAGAGGUCGUUCAAGACUGGCAGACUAGAGAGCAGUAGGGGAAGGUGGAAUUCCGGGUGUAGUGGUGAAAUGCGUAGAUAUCCGGAGGAACACCAGUGGCGAAAGCGGCCUUCUGGACUGCAUCUGACGCUCAGACGCGAAAGCUAGGGGAGCAAACGGGAUUAGAUACCCCUGUAGUCCC